AUCGCUUCUCAGCCUUCUGGCUAAGAUCAAGUGUAGUAACAGUUGUACCUGUUUUCACCUUUUUAUAAUGAUCCAAUUACCCUCA
The sequence is a small nuclear RNA, 85 nucleotides long. Its record names the gene U2. It matches the Rfam family "U2 spliceosomal RNA". From Rfam's summary of the family: U2 is a small nuclear RNA (snRNA) component of the spliceosome (involved in pre-mRNA splicing). Complementary binding between U2 snRNA (in an area lying towards the 5' end but 3' to hairpin I) and the branchpoint sequence (BPS) of the intron results the bulging out of an unpaired adenosine, on the BPS, which initiates a nucleophilic attack at the intronic 5' splice site, thus starting the first of two transesterification reactions that mediate splicing. The record is from Ensembl.